This 259-nucleotide long non-coding RNA is filed under the name Lathyrus oleraceus (garden pea). RNAcentral describes it as "Pisum sativum (pea) long non-coding RNA (PSAT_LNC001050)". Lineage: Eukaryota; Viridiplantae; Streptophyta; Magnoliopsida; Fabales; Fabaceae. The record is from RNAcentral.
UGAAAUCGCCAUUCCCUGCUUGGUUCGAGUACUUCAGCUUUGUCCUGAUUUACCUGUUUCCCCUGCAGACUUUUCCUUUAUCCCCGGCCGAGUCUUUCCAUUGAUUUAUUUUAAUGGAAUCCCUUGUGUCUCCCAGCUGUUUUAAGUCGUAGCCUGGCAUACACAUAACCUAUUCAUCCCCAGAGUCUCUGUCUCCCCCAGUGAUUUUUCCUUAUGGAAAGUAUUGUGCUCCUGCGGAUUUUCAAUCUCUCCGAAUUCU